RNAcentral lists this ribosomal RNA (530 nucleotides) under Bifidobacterium breve. RNAcentral describes it as "bacterial SSU rRNA". It matches the Rfam family "Bacterial small subunit ribosomal RNA", at positions 157 to 700 of the family's 1533-position model. The record is from RNAcentral. Lineage: Bacteria; Bacillati; Actinomycetota; Actinomycetes; Bifidobacteriales; Bifidobacteriaceae.
CGGGUGGUAAUGCCGGAUGCUCCAUCACACCGCAUGGUGUGUUGGGAAAGCCUUUGCGGCAUGGGAUGGGGUCGCGUCCUAUCAGCUUGAUGGCGGGGUAACGGCCCACCAUGGCUUCGACGGGUAGCCGGCCUGAGAGGGCGACCGGCCACAUUGGGACUGAGAUACGGCCCAGACUCCUACGGGAGGCAGCAGUGGGGAAUAUUGCACAAUGGGCGCAAGCCUGAUGCAGCGACGCCGCGUGAGGGAUGGAGGCCUUCGGGUUGUAAACCUCUUUUAUCAGGGAGCAAGGCUUCGGUUGAGUGUACCUGUUGAAUAAGCACCGGCUAACUACGUGCCAGCAGCCGCGGUAAUACGUAGGGUGCAAGCGUUAUCCGGAAUUAUUGGGCGUAAAGGGCUCGUAGGCGGUUCGUCGCGUCCGGUGUGAAAGUCCAUCGCUUAACGGUGGAUCCGCGCCGGGUACGGGCGGGCUUGAGUGCGGUAGGGGAGACUGGAAUUCCCGGUGUAACGGUGGAAUGUGUAGAUAUCGG